UCACCAGGAAUGAAUUCUGAGCUCACGUUCUGGACCGCUGCCAGGAAGAAGGAAGCGGCGUUAGUAUAAAGAAUCACACAAAAGGCCGCAGGAAAUUGCCACCUCAUUCUACAUAUACACUGGGAGCUACUUCUUUGAGAGCCCCCAAGUUUAAAGGAAAAGCUCCCUUUCCUUUGGGGAGCCUACUGGGGACAAUUCCCCCACCUGACCCAGGACCCUAGAGGAAGAGGAAGACAGCAACAGAUGUGAGGAGGAGAAGGACCCCUCCCUGCCCCAUGCUCAGGGGCCUCUGAUCCCUAACCCAUUGAUGUUUCUUCAGCUGUAUGCCUUGGAGAUGUUGGCCAGGAGUGACCAACAAAGUGACUCCUCAAAGCUACGAAGAAGCAAGCCUGCCCCCAGACCUGGUGGUUCAGGACCAUGGAGAGCAUCCUACAUAGGUAAGGCCCUCUCCCAAAAGAAUUGGAUUGCCAGGAGAGAGUAGGAGAGAGCUGUGAGGUGGAAGUAAGGGAGAGAUAGUGGAGGGAAAGGCACAGACAAAAGUGAGGCUUAUUCCCAGCCUGGCCCUCCUAGCCUGGGUGACUCUGAACUGGGACUCAGAAAUACUGCUACCCUGGACCAAAGGCCCCCCACUACAACAUCAAAAAGAAUGGGAGGGGGGAGGGCAGCCUGGGCUCUGGGGUGUGAGAUUCUGGAGGACAGCUCUUGCUGGGAUGUUCUGGGAACCUUUGUACAUAGUGCACAAAGCUAAACAAAUGAAUAGAUUAGGGUUUGAGGUAUUUUUUUUUUCAAUUUUUUAAUUGUGGUAAAGUACUUGCACAUUUACCAUCUUAACCAUUUUUAAGUAUACAGUUCAGUGAUAUUAAAUACAUUCAGAUGAUAUUUUUUUCAAGCGAAUGGAAUUGCCCUUAGGCAGACUUUGGGAGGCUGCGUAGGUAUGUUAUGUGUACAUGAGAGAAGGGCAUAGUUACAACCCCUACAGGUGAGGGCUGCCCAAAGGUAGGGAAAGUAGGAGGUACGGACCAGGACCAGGACCUAUUAGGCCUGUUCAUUCUGGCAGCUGCAGGGUGGGUGUGAGGGGUCAGGAAGAGACUUCC
Molecule: long non-coding RNA, 1094 nt
Filed under: Felis catus (domestic cat)
Lineage: Eukaryota; Metazoa; Chordata; Mammalia; Carnivora; Felidae
Description: lncRNA (ENSFCAG00000041764.2)
Source: RNAcentral